GAUGAACGCUGGCGGCGUGCCUAAUACAUGCAAGUCGAGCGAACAGAUAAUGAGCUUGCUCCGUGGACGUUAGCGGCGGACGGGUGAGUAACACGUGUAUAACCUACCUAUAAGACUGGGAUAACCUCGGGAAACCGGAGCUAAUACCGUAUAAGAUUUCGAACCGCGUGGUUCGAUAGUGAAAUAUGGUGGUGCUGUCACUUAUAGAUGGACCCGCGCCGGAUUAGCUAGUUGUUAAGGUAACGGCUUACCAAGGCGACGAGACGUAGCCGACCGGAGAGGGUGGGUAGCCACACUGGGACUGUGACACGGUCCAGACUGACAGGGGAGGCAGCAGUAGGGCAACGGGCGCCAUGGGUGAGAGAUUGACGGAGAUAGGCGGCGUGAGGGAUGAAGGUCUUCGGAUCGUAAAUCUCGGUUUUUAGGGUAGAAAAUACGUGUACGUAAGUGGGAACGUCUGGACGGUAACUAAUUAGAAAGCCACCGCUAACUAAGUGC
Molecule: ribosomal RNA, 498 nt
Filed under: uncultured bacterium
Lineage: Bacteria
Description: partial 16S ribosomal RNA
Rfam family: Bacterial small subunit ribosomal RNA
Source: RNAcentral